This 118-nucleotide ribosomal RNA is filed under the name Clostridium botulinum. The record is from RNAcentral. Lineage: Bacteria; Bacillati; Bacillota; Clostridia; Eubacteriales; Clostridiaceae.
UCUGGUGAUUAUGGCUUGAAGGUAACACCCGUUCCCAUGCCGAACACGAAGGUUAAGCUUCAAAGCGCUGAUGGUACUGCAGGGGGAAGCCCUGUGGAAGAGUAGGUCGUUGCCAGAU